Molecule: long non-coding RNA, 683 nt
Organism: Parasteatoda tepidariorum (common house spider)
Lineage: Eukaryota; Metazoa; Arthropoda; Arachnida; Araneae; Theridiidae
Source: RefSeq, a predicted model, not a curated record
GUCUUUGUUUCAACUGUUUACACUUUUUCGACCGAAGUAGAAUAUUUUUAUAUUACUUGUUCUUAAAAAAUUGACAUAUAACAUACUAGCAACUGUAUGCAGCUCUUAAGUUCAAACUAUUUAUUUGUACAAAUGGCAGAUAUUUGAAAUCUAAGCCUUAGUCUAGCUUCCCACACUUCGAAACAACAGUGCAGAAAUUAUAUUCACUAUAUGUAAAUUCUACUAAAGAUAAAAAUAUCAAUCUACAUUCUUUUUAUUCCACCACGGGAGAACUUGGUAUUGAAAAACAUGAGAUUUCUAAAAUGAAUAAUUAUUUUUGUCAUGUAUGUAAAAAGGGUUUUGUGAGUAAACAAAAUCUUCAAGUUCAUUUCAGGAUACAUACUGGUGAACGCCCGUUUGAAUGUAAGAUUUGUAAAAAAAGAUUUACUCAAAAACACUGUUUAAAAAGACAUUACUUAGUUCAUAGUUAAAUGCAUAUAGUCUUGUUUAGUAAUCUUUCAUUUGAGAUUUAAAAGUGGUUCAUUUGGUUUGUAUAUGUCUGUUCUUAUUUAUAUGUAUUAGAAUUUACUUAUUAAAUCUUUAGAUAAGAAUUUGUUUUAGAAUUGUUUAUCUAACUCAAUUUUCCAUCUGCUAUUUUAUAUUUGAAACCAUUAAAUUUUUUGUUAUUCAACGGAAGUUUUUAC